UGGACUACUAGGGUAUCUAAUCCCGUUUGCUCCCCUAGCUUUCGCUCAUCAGCGUCAAUGUCGGUCCAGGAUGCCGCCUUCGCCACCGGUAUUCCUCCAGAUAUCUACGCAUUUCACCGCUACACCUGGAAUUCUGCAUCCCUCUCCCGAAUUCAAGCCAUCCAGUAUCGGACGCAGUUCCUCGGUUGAGCCGAGGGAUUUCACGUCCGACUUAGUUGGCCGCCUACGAGCCCUCUACGCCCAGUAAUUCCGAACAACGCUUGCCCCCCCCGUAUUACCGCGGCUGCUGGCACG
This 294-nucleotide unclassified non-coding RNA is filed under the name uncultured fungus. Its description in RNAcentral is "sequence contains ITS1". Lineage: Eukaryota; Fungi. The record is from RNAcentral.